UUAAAGUUCACUUAGAGAUAAGUCAAAAUAAAGGCGUAAUUUUUCCCCCCAUCCAAGGUCACGGACCCCCUGAUGUCUAGCCACAGAUCUGCCCUGAUUAAGAGCCCGGCCAGCAGAACUUUGACCUCGGUCCCAACUUUUUCUUUGCUGCCUACAUGAACUGGUCACUUUUCAAUCUUUUGCCUCGAAUUGAACUUCAGAGUAAAAGCUCAAAGGAUGGAGGGAUCCCUAAGCUGAGAACACAUAGGAAAGCUGUUGGGUUUGCUCCCCAGAAAUGGUAGUCUGUCUCUGACUCAUGGAUGAUAACGGUAACAAGAUGGACCUUGGAAGCCUUGGAAGUAACCUGGUAAAUUUGAAUUUUUGAGAGCUCCUGCACUCGUCAGCUGGAGCUGAUUGGCAGCAGGAGGAGUUUCCUAAAAUGCCCUUCUUGAAGAUGACCACUGACAGAAGGAUAAGUCCAUCCAUGUCCUGGUUAUCCAGAUGAUAUGGACCUUGAGGGACUGGUAUGGAUUGUGCAGAGCCAGGAUGAUUAAAUGGUUCUCAUGAGUUUA
Long non-coding RNA from Phascolarctos cinereus (koala), 551 nucleotides. RefSeq lists it as uncharacterized. Lineage: Eukaryota; Metazoa; Chordata; Mammalia; Diprotodontia; Phascolarctidae. The record is from RefSeq and is a predicted model, not a curated record.